GCAGACGGCGGAGAGCAGAGAGGGAGCGCGCCUUGGCUCGCUGGCCUUGGCGGCGGCUCCUCAGGAGAGCUGGGGCGCCCACGAGAGGAUCCCUCACCCGGGUCUCUCCUCAGGGAUGACAUCAUCCGUCCACCUCCUUGUCUUCAAGGACCACCUCCUCUCCAUGCUGAGCUGCUGCCAAGGGGCCUGCUGCCCAUCUACACCUCACGAGGGCACUAGGAGCACGGUUUCCUGGAUCCCACCAACAUACAAAGCAGCCACUCACUGACCCCCAGGACCAGGAUGGCAAAGGAUGAAGAGGACCGGAACUGACCAGCCAGCUGUCCCUCUUACCUAAAGACUUAAACCAAUGCCCUAGUGAGGGGGCAUUGGGCAUUAAGCCCUGACCUUUGCUAUGCUCAUACUUUGACUCUAUGAGUACUUUCCUAUAAGUCUUUGCUUGUGUUCACCUGCUAGCAAACUGGAGUGUUUCCCUCCCCAAGGGGGUGUCAGUCUUUGUCGACUGACUCUGUCAUCACCCUUAUGAUGUCCUGAAUGGAAGGAUCCCUUUGGGAAAUUCUCAGGAGGGGGACCUGGGCCAAGGGCUUGGCCAGCAUCCUGCUGGCAACUCCAAGGCCCUGGGUGGGCUUCUGGAAUGAGCAUGCUACUGAAUCACCAAAGGCACGCCCGACCUCUCUGAAGAUCUUCCUAUCCUUUUCUGGGGGAAUGGGGUCGAUGAGAGCAACCUCCUAGGGUUGUUGUGAGAAUUAAAUGAGAUAAAAGAGGCCUCAGGCAGGAUCUGGCAUAGAGGAGGUGAUCAGCAAAUGUUUGUUGAAAAGGUUUGACAGGUCAGUCCCUUCCCACCCCUCUUGCUUGUCUUACUUGUCUUAUUUAUUCUCCAACAGCACUCCAGGCAGCCCUUGUCCACGGGCUCUCCUUGCAUCAGAGACUGGCAGGAGCUUUUACCAGUGGUUUUUACAUCCUUAAUGUUCAGGACGAAUAAUUUAUGGUCAGUGAAAAUCCAGGCCCCAGUGAGAUUCGAGUGGGCUGUAAAAUCGAGAGUCCUGCUCCCAGUGAGUAAUGGUAGUGAAUGUUUCUGUCACUUUUUGCAACCGUCCAUUCAUUUGAUCCUCACAACUCCCUGUCCUGAGCCAGGACCGGCCACUGCCACUCCCAGGGAAACAGAGGCUGUCAAGAGGCUCCACAGAUUGGGCCCCACUGGAUCAUUGAACCCCUGUUCCCUGAGUUCUAGAGGAAGAAUUGUACCUGUCUCAGUCCCGGCCACCUCCAGAAGGCCUCCCUCUGCAUUUCUGACUUUGCUGUGCCGGCAGCCUGGAGCCUCCCAGGUCCCUGCUGUCAUCUUUUCUAGCCACUACAGUCUCUGUCUUUCCUUUCACAGCCAAGCUUCUUGAAAGGCCUGUCUACACUUGCUGUCUUCCUUCCUCACCUCCAAUUUCCUCUUCAACCCACUGCUUCCUGACUCGCUCUACUCCGUGGAAGCACGCUCACAAAGUUCCUGACCUGGCCAUCCCGGGGUGCCCUUGACCAGCCCCGUGUCUCCUCAGGGUGUCCCAGCACCAGCCUGGCACAGAGUGGGGCUCAGUUAGAGUAUGUGGGAUGUUGGUUUCGCCAGGUGAGUGAAUGAAAGGACUCGACCACCACAGCUGAGCCACUAGCUGGGCCAUGCGAAGAGUUCUAGGUGCAAAGGCUGGAGGGUGGAAUUCAUUUUUGAGAGGUGUGUGAGCAGCUUCCGACCCCUGCCCCAUUUGAACGGGGGCCUUGCUGGUCGCGUCCCUGCAUUCACCCGCGCGGCCAUCCCGUCAUCCAACAGUUGAUCCUAACUGAGCACGCCCACGGCCCUGGUCUGGCCUGGGCACCGGCCACCGUAGCCCAUCCCUUGAUGGCCUCUGUGUCCCCAGGAGGGCGGGCCGGGGGGUUGCCCAGGGGCUGGAGCAGUGGACUGUGGCUCCAUAGAGGUAGGCCGGAGGGUGUGAGGGCAGAUUCAAGCUAUCCCCAGGGCUCUGCUCUGGUCGGAGCCAGCCCCUUCUCCCUCUCUGCCUUCCCCGCCCCAUUCCUGAUGCUGAACUGUUCUGGACCCCUGGCCCUGAGUCUCUCAGGACCAAAGUGGGCACGGGAACAGCUGUAGUGUGUGCCCCCCCGGGCUUUGGCCACAGGUCUCCCUCUCGAGGUGUGGUUGUGACUGCGACCCUUCCCUUGCCGUGAUGCCUUCCUCCCCCGGGGCUUGGUCCAGCUCCUUCACUCUCUAGCAGCUGCUGGGGCCCACCUCCCAUGCCGAGGACCAGCAGGGGAAACCUCCAGGGAGCAUCUGCAGGCUCUGCUUCUGCCCGGCUGCUGGCUUGCUCUCCCUGGUGGCUCUCCAGCGGCCAGCUUCCUCACCCACCCGGCACUCCGCUUUGCUCUGUCUCCUGAGGUGGGCCUGACCAACCUCCCCUUCUCUGCCUCAGUCCCUGGGCUCCAGGGCUCAGCUCCACAGCCCUCUGCCUAGCAGGCUGGUUCUCCCUGCCAAGCCCAUACCUGUGGUCACCUGGCCCUCCUGUGGUCUGAGUACCACUCCCCUGCCCCAGGAGCCACUCCCACUCCAGCUGCCUGUUUCCAGCAGGUUCCCAGUGCCCCCGACAAGCCCCUGCUGGUGUCUCCAUCUCCUGCCAAGCAUCCUCCAGUGCCUCCUCCUGUGGGCCUGGCCUCAGGGCUAUGGACAGACUCCUGUCCCAUCCCAGAGACCCCUCGUGAUCGUGCCCUGUAGUCACCCCACUCCACCGAAAAGUAAACUGCAGGCACGUGGGCCGUGGCCCGGCUGGGUCGGCUGAAGAACUGCGGAUGGAAGCUGCGGAAGAGGCCCUGAUGGGGCCCACCAUCCCGGACCCAAGUCUUCUUCCUGGCGGGCCUCUCGUCUCCUUCCUGGUUUGGGCGGAAGCCAUCACCUGGAUGCCUACGUGGGAAGGGACCUCGAAUGUGGGACCCCAGCCCCUCUCCAGCUCGAAAUCCCUCCACAGCCACGGGGACACCCUGCACCUAUUCCCACGGGACAGGCUGGACCCAGAGACUCUGGACCCGGGGCCUCCCCUUGAGUAGAGACCCGCCCUCUGACUGAUGGACGCCGCUGACCUGGGGUCAGACCCGUGGGCUGGACCCCUGCCCACCCCGCAGGAACCCUGAGGCCUAGGGGAGCUGUUGAGCCUUCAGUGUCUGCAUGUGGGAAGUGGGCUCCUUCACCUACCUCACAGGGCUGUUGUGAGGGGCGCUGUGAUGCGGUUCCAAAGCACAGGGCUUGGCGCACCCCACUGUGCUCUCAAUAAAUGUGUUUCCUGUCUUAACAAAAACUGAUGGAUGUGCUACUAAUA
Molecule: long non-coding RNA, 3341 nt
Filed under: Homo sapiens (human)
Lineage: Eukaryota; Metazoa; Chordata; Mammalia; Primates; Hominidae
Description: non-protein coding lnc-DLK1-35:48
Rfam family: Maternally expressed 3 conserved region 2 (bases 526-630)
Source: RNAcentral